AGCAGCCGCGGUAAUUCCAGCUCCAAUAGCGUAUAUUAAAGUUGUUGCAGUUAAAAAGCUCGUAGUUGAAUUUCGGGAUUGACGUGAUGGUCGUGCCUUAAGGGGUAUGAACUGUUGCUGUUGAUUUCUCACCUUCUGGAGAAACUUGAUGUCCUUAAUUGGGUGUCUUGCGGAUCCAGGACCUUUACCUUGAAAAAUUAGAGUGUUUAAAGCAGGCAUUUUGCUCGAAUACAUUAGCAUGGAAUAAUAGAAUAGGACGGCAUGGUUCUAUUUUGUUGGUUUCUAGGAUCACCGUAAUGAUUAAUAGGGAUAGUUGGGGGCAUUAGUAUUCAAUUGUCAGAGGUGAAAUUCUUGGAUUUAUUGAAGACUAACUACUGCGAAAGCAUUUGCCAAGGAUGUUUUCAUUAAUCAAGAACGAAAGUUAGGGGAUCGAAGACGAUCAGAUACCGUCGUAGUCUUAACCAUAAACUAUGCCGACUAGGAAUCAGACGAUGUUAAUUUUUUAAUGAC
RNAcentral lists this ribosomal RNA (510 nucleotides) under uncultured Entrophospora. Its description in RNAcentral is "SSU rRNA". It matches the Rfam family "Eukaryotic small subunit ribosomal RNA", at positions 569 to 1075 of the family's 1831-position model. Lineage: Eukaryota; Fungi; Glomeromycota; Glomeromycetes; Entrophosporales; Entrophosporaceae. The record is from RNAcentral.